Molecule: ribosomal RNA, 374 nt
Filed under: uncultured prokaryote
Description: bacterial SSU rRNA
Rfam family: Bacterial small subunit ribosomal RNA
Source: RNAcentral
UACAGAGGGUGCAAGCGUUGCUCGGAUUUACUGGGCGUAAAGCGUACGCAGACGGUGAGAAAGGUCGGAUGUGAAAGCCCCGGGCUCAACCCGGGAACUGCAUCCGAAACCAUCUCGCUAGAGUAUGAGAGAGGGAAGCGGAAUUCCUGGUGUAGAGGUGAAAUUCGUAGAUAUCAGGAGGAACACCGGCGGCGAAGGCGGCUUCCUGGCUCAUUACUGACGUUCAGGUACGAAAGCGUGGGUAGCAAACAGGAUUAGAUACCCUGGUAGUCCACGCUGUAAACGAUGUGUGCUGGAUGUCGGGGGUAUUCACCCCCUCGGUAUCGAAGCUAACGCGAUAAGCACACCGCCUGGGGAGUACGGCCGCAAGGUUG